AGAGUGUGAAGGUUCAAUUAGCAGGGGUGGCUCCAGACAGGCAAACUGCACAGUUGUUCUCCAUCUGCUUAAAAAGCAGUGGAGUUCCUGAGACCGCCACCUGCCUGUCCACCCUCCAUCACCGGCUGUUAGAAGAGAUGAUCAUUAUACGCAGAGCCUUCCUGGAACUGCCAACCUCUGCCUCCACAGAUGCACUUUCUACCCCACUCACAAAUACAACCUAAGCC
Girardinichthys multiradiatus is the source of this 227-nucleotide long non-coding RNA. RefSeq lists it as uncharacterized. The transcript is spliced from 3 exons. The record is from RefSeq and is a predicted model, not a curated record. NCBI's taxonomy places the organism in Eukaryota, Metazoa, Chordata, Actinopteri, Cyprinodontiformes, Goodeidae.